Molecule: long non-coding RNA, 1055 nt
Filed under: Helianthus annuus (common sunflower)
Lineage: Eukaryota; Viridiplantae; Streptophyta; Magnoliopsida; Asterales; Asteraceae
Source: RNAcentral
AUGUUGCUAUCAAACUUGAACUCAAAACAACCAGUUCUGAAGCAUACCACCGAUGCAUCACCACCAUUACACCCCAUCUGUUUCAAUUUAACCACAAAUCGAACACUAGGGCGUCCGAUACGCCUUCAAUUAAAUAGGUCUACUGAAUAAAAGUUUGCAUAUUUUUUCUUGAUAAUUUUGUGGAACUAAACAUAUUGAUAGUUGUUUGGUUACUAUUUUGUCACAGGUUUUGGUUCUUGAUGCCUAACACACAUCAAAUAUGAUUAUUAAGUUAAAAUUGUUGGUUGAUCAUUUUCAAUAAUAUUACGUGUCUAUGUAUGCAUGUAUGUAUAAAAAAUCCCUUGAUCCCUGUCCUUUCUUCUCUCUGCUCCAGUGAUCCGACAAACUUCAUCUAACAAGCUUGCAUUAGGUCUCCGUCUCACUCAACAACAAGCAAAGGAUUCUUCUGGCAAGGUUCUUCCCAUGGACGUGUUACGCCAAUGAAAGUAUAAAACCGGUGACAUGAACUAUUUGGGACCUUUUGCGAAACUAACAUUUCAUUUAUAACAAUGCUAAUAAUAACCUUAGUUAGCAGGCGUCUUCUUCGAACAACCCUCUACCACAUAUGAGUUUUGAUUACCUUUUACAUUAAGAUUUGUCAAUAGUUUUAAAUUGAUGGCUUUCAACCAUGAAAUUCGUUUGGCAAUGUAUAUAUGUGCUAUUCUGUUUGCAUUUCUAACAGUAUGAAACAUGUUUUGUAAUUUUUGUUGCUGCUAUAAGGUCGCUUGCUUCACUUAGGGCUGCUUUUGUUGAUCAUUUCGUUGGCCAUUUGAGGAUGUUGAGAGCAGUUGGAGCAACUUGCUGUAGAAAGAACACCCAGAGUAUAAAUUCACAUUUUUGUUUUAUGGUUUUUCUCGGUUUUAGUUGUUGUUUGCUUACUGCUUAGCAUGGUUUUACAACUCAUGCCCCGCAACGUGGGGUUAAAUACUAGUUUAUAAACAAAAUAAGGACUAAAAGCAAGGAUAAUGUUUGUUUUUUGUUGAUUUAUUUGAAAUGGAUGGAUCCUACCAUUUUGU